UCUUAUAUUCUUCAUUCAAGGUGGAAAGCAAUAUGAUUGUUAGAUGGUCAUCAUGGAUUUGUUUGUCGCGAUGGAGGUUGUCCCAGAAGUGGAAACAAGAGUAAGUUCUUCAAAGAUUUAUGUUGAUUUGGAAAUGCGGAAAUGUUGACUUAUGCGGUAAACGUUGGUUGUGGUUAGAACCCAUAGUGACUCCUUUGGACUAUUGGCUCUUGGUACAUUUGAAGUGUUUUUAGUAUAGUUUUGUUUUGUACAUUUCUGCAAAAAGUUGAGUUGGAGUCAUGGUCUUUUGUAUAUUGAUGUAUUUUAAGUCUUGAAGUCUUGACUAUUAUGGUGGAUUGAAGUAUAAAUCAUUUUGGAGUCAAAUUGGUCAUUUUGUCACUUUGGGUAA
Erigeron canadensis is the source of this 388-nucleotide long non-coding RNA. RefSeq lists it as uncharacterized. Lineage: Eukaryota; Viridiplantae; Streptophyta; Magnoliopsida; Asterales; Asteraceae. The record is from RefSeq and is a predicted model, not a curated record. The transcript is spliced from 3 exons.